AUGGGGAAAGGGAUGAGACAGUCCACAUGCUUCAGUGUCACAUGCCUCUUGGUCUGGCAGAGAUCAGGAGAUGGAUAAACAGUGUAUUCUUCCCAGACACUUCAAAUACAGGCAGCAUUUAGAAGUCACAAUAUUCGUAUGGAGAGGCUGUUCCCAGAAGAAGUAAUUUUAGUUGAAAUGGUGUUUACGCAGGUGUGAGGGUUGGACCUAUGGCUUCUCUCCAUAUCUCCCAAGCAAGACUUCUAUUCUUUAGCACUUUAGUAAGAGGAAUGUGGAAAAUACUCAUUUUUGCAAGCCUGUUGCCAUUAUUAGUUUUUUUUUUUUUUUUAAAUUCCGGUUUUAAAAUACAUUACAUUCAUAAGAAUUAACACUGAAGUUAUGAUGCAGUUCAGCUGUGUGUAGGUAAAAAUUCACUUCCAAGAAUAAAGGACUAGACUCCUUCUCCCUGCUCUCCCUGCCCUGUUGAAAUGCAGGGAGGUCGGGGAGAAGGAAUGGGUGGGUAUUCUAUAAAAUGUGAAGCAUUGUAUACUGAUGUAGGUCUUGGAAAUGUUUGUUCAAGUAUCCAAAGCAAACCCUGUACUUUUCUUUAGAAUUAUUUGGGAUCACUGAUAUUCAUGUAGAGUGAAUAAAAGUUAAAGUAGUAUUAAAAAAGGAAGGUUGGCUUCAUGCCUAAGAUGUGCUAGAUAAACUAAGUUUAGCCUGAAGAUGCACAUAUGCACUCCCACUGGUAUCCAUGGGAGCUGUGUGUGUGGCCUAUGUGUUUAAAAGCAGGAUUGAUUUUAAAGAGAAA
Molecule: long non-coding RNA, 790 nt
Organism: Strigops habroptila (Kakapo)
Lineage: Eukaryota; Metazoa; Chordata; Aves; Psittaciformes; Psittacidae
Exons: 3
Source: RefSeq, a predicted model, not a curated record